This 32680-nucleotide long non-coding RNA is filed under the name Triticum aestivum (bread wheat). Its description in RNAcentral is "long non-coding RNA (TAES_LNC013592)". The stretch from base 25287 to 25411 matches the Rfam family "MIR1120/MIR1122 microRNA precursor family". The record is from RNAcentral. Lineage: Eukaryota; Viridiplantae; Streptophyta; Magnoliopsida; Poales; Poaceae.
UGGCCAGGCCUAGUGCCUUCUGAAGUGCUCUCAGUUUUGUAUAUUCUUUUGUCGGCGCGUUUAUUUGCACUGGUGGCGAACUUUGAUGCCCAGUGGAUGUAAUAUGUGUGAUAGCCGUGAUAGCCUAGCGUAAGUUGCUUGCUUAUUUAUUUCCUUGUUGUCUUGUUUAUUUGUUUGCUUGUAGUCAUUGCAGUUCUUUUUCCGCGGUUUGCUAGUGGCUGCAAUAACCUAUUUUUUAAAACUAGGCCACAAUAACCAUGGGCUAAUAUUUACUGUAGUGACACUGGGCCUCCUACGGGCCGUAGAAACAGUGGGCCUUCUACGGGCCGUAGAAACAGUGGGCCUUCUACGGGCCGUAGAAACAAUGAGCCUUCUAUGGGUCGUAGAAACAAUGGGCCUUCUAUGGGCCGUAUCAUCAAUGGGCCUUAUACGGGCGGUAUGAUCGAUUGGCCAAACAUGGGCCAAUAACAGGCCGCAUUAUGGCCGUAAACGGGCUAGAGUUGGAAUCGUCCGUUCAUGGGCCGACCAUAACGGGCCAUCGUUAAUAGGUCGUAUUUGAUGACGCUAUGAAAACGGCCCAACGUAUUAACGGACCACAAACGGGCCGACUGUAACCACGGGCUGAAUUUGGCCCAGAAGCAGAAAAUGAUAGUAACGGGCCGUAAGUAAACGAAUGCUGGAAAUGAGCCCAAGAAUAAAUGGGCUCUGAGAAGGGCGAAAGAUAACAUGGGCUAGAAAUGUCCCAACGGAAUAACGGGCCGUUAAUGGGUAUAUAGUGAUACACUGUUCAUUACGGGCCAGUUUCACCACGGGCCAUUAAUGGGUGUAAAGUGAUACACUAAUCAUUACGGGCCAGUUUCACCACGAGCCGUUAAUAGGCCAAGAGUUACAUAGGGCCUCAUAUGGGCCGAAAGACGUCAUGGGCCAUACAUGGGCCAGAAGUGAAAACGGGCUGGAAUCAUAUUGGGUGGCCCAGAUGACGCUACUGGGCCUAAUUCGGAUAGGGUGUAACAGGCCUUGGGUUAGCGGGCUAUAAAUGGGCUAUAUGCGAACAGGCCGUUAACAGGCUUUACAUGCACUAGUACAAAACAGGGCUUUCGUCACAGGGCAAUAUUCACAUUAGUCCCGGUUCAGUCACGAACCGGGACUAAUGUGACCAUUGGUCCCGGUUCGUGCGGCUAAGGCAUUAGUCCCGGUUCACCUGGGCCCUUUAGUCCCGGUUGGUGCCACAAACCGGGACUAAAGGGUGCGAUGCCCAUUAGUACCGGUUGGUGGCAUCAACCGGUACUAAUGGGCUUUGAGGCAUUAGUACCGGUUCAUGGCACGAACCGGUACUAAAGGGCCCAUCAAACUCUACCCCCCNNNNNNNNNNNNNNNNNNNNNNNNNNNNNNNNNNNNNNNNNNNNNNNNNNNNNNNNNNNNNNNNNNNNNNNNNNNNNNNNNNNNNNNNNNNNNNNNNNNNNNNNNNNNNNNNNNNNNNNNNNNNNNNNNNNNNNNNNNNNNNNNNNNNNNNNNNNNNNNNNNNNNNNNNNNNNNNNNNUGAUGGAAAUGUCAAAAAAAUAAAAAUAAAAUAAGUUUCCCAUGUGAUAUGUGGUCUAGUUGUUGGGAAAAUUAACAAAUAUGAAUUUUGACUUUAUUUGCAAAAUCUCUCUGGAAUUUCUUAAAAUGGGCAUAACUUUUGCAUACGAACUCGGAUGAAAAAGUUUUUUAUAUGAAAAAUCAUCUACUCGAAAAGUUACAUCUGAGGGAGAAUAGAACCCGGAAGUUAAGCGUGCUCAGGCUGGAGUAGUGAGAGGAUGGGUGACCGUCCGGGAAGUUAGAUGAUUUGGAAUGAUGAGGGGUGAUUAGAGAUUAGAGGAUAAAUUGAGCAGUGAUGAGGGGUGGUGAUUAGAGAUUAGAGGUUAAAAUAAUUCAGAAAAUUGAAAAUAAAAAAAAAUCGCAAAAAAAAUUUCAAAAAAAAAUAUCAUAAAAUUUCCUUUAGUCCCGGUUGGUAACACCAACCGGGACUAAAGGUGGAGCUCCAGGCUGCGUCCACGUGGACGGCCUUUAGUCCCGGUUCGUGUAAGAACCGGGACUAAAGGGGGGAGGCAUUAGUAACGACCCUUUAGUCCCAGUUCAAAAACCGGGACUAAAGGCCCUUACCAACCGGGACUAAAGCCCCCUUUUCUACUAGUGAUGGGCCGGCCCGCCACCUUUUGACCAAGUCAAACGGGCCGGCCUUUUCACAGGAAUGGGCCUCUGUUGGGCCGUGUCGACGUAUCAUAGGCGCCUUCUGUCCAAUGAGUGGAUGACAUCUGUCCCAACGAUGAGCCGACACGUGUUUCCUCCAGCCAAUGAUGAUUUUACACGUGGAAAAUCCCCAUUGGUCGGGGCUGUUAACGGGUUAUCGGAUCCAAAACCCGACCCGAUAGCUUAACGGCGUUCCGUUACGGUGGAUGCCACGUGUCGGUCACCCUUGACUAAAGCACUUCUGUGACGCGGGAUUUAUCGUCAUGGAAGUGGACACUUCCGUGAUGAUAAUUUUGGUAAUGUCAUGGAACACUUCUACGACAGCACAGGUAUGACUAUCUUGAUUCUGUCAUAAAAUCGUCAUGGAUGUACAUGCAUGACAGAAAAUGCGACCUAGUGUGACAAACACGUAUCAUCACGGAAGUGUAUUUUUUUGUAGUGCAUUAAUCCUUUCGAGGAGCAGAGCAGCAAUCACAGCACCUGGCCCGUGACUCUAUGUAUGUAUAACCUUCCUCCUUAGAUGUGCAUGAAGCGGAAGUUCAUUAUGAUGCCAGUUCUCAUCCAAGGCCCUAAGCAACCCAGCAACGACAUUGAUGUGUACCUAAGGCCAUUAGUUGAAGAACUUUUACAGCUGUGGAAUGGAAACGGUGUACGUGUGUGGGAUGAGCACAAACAGGAGGAAUUUAACCUGCAGGCGUUGCUGUUUGUAACCAUCAAUGAUUGGCCCGCUCUCAGUAACCUUUCAGGACAAACAAACAAGGGGUACCACGCAUGCACGCACUAUUUAGCUAACACUGAAAGUAUAUACCUGGACAAAUGCAGGAAGAAUGUGUACCUGGGCCAUCAUCGAUUUCUUCCGACCAACCAUCAAUGUCGAAAGAAAGGCAAGCAUUUCAAAGGCGAGGCAGAUCACCGGAAGAAGCCCGCCAUGCGUACCGGUGAUCACGUACUUGCUAUGGUCAAUGAUUUACAUGUAAUCUUUGGAAAGGGUCCUGACGGACUAGCUGUUCCGAAUGACGGUGAGGGACGCGCACCCAUAUGGAAGAAGAAAUCUAUAUUUUGGGACCUACCCUACUGGAAAGACCUAGAGGUCCGCUUUUCAAUCGAUGUGAUGCACGUGAUGAAGAACCUUUGUGUGAACCUGCUAGGCUUCUUGGGCGUGUAUGGGAAGACAAAAGAUACACCUGAGGCACGGGAGGACCUACAACGUUUGCACGAAAAAGACGGCAUGCCUCCAAAGCAGUAUGAAGGUCCUGCCAGCUACGCUCUUACCAAAGAAGAGAAGGAAAUCUUCUUUGAAUACCUGCUCAGUAUGAAGGUCCCGACUGGCUUCUCGUCGAGUAUAAAGGGAAUAAUAAAUAUGCCAGAGAAAAAGUUCCAGAACCUAAAGUCCCCUGACUCCCACGUGAUUAUGACGCAACUGCUUCCGGUUGCAUUGAGGGGGCUUCUACCGGAAAACGUCCGAUUAGCCAUUGUGAAGCUAUGUGCAUUCCUCAAUGCAAUCACUCAGAAGGUGAUCGAUCCAGAAAUCAUACCAAGGCUAAGGAGUGAUGUGGCGCAAUGUCUUGUUAGUUUCGAGCUGGUGUUCCCACCAUCCUUCUUCAAUAUCAUGACGCACGUCCUAGUUCAUCUAGUCGACGAGAUUGUCAUUCUGGGCCCCGUAUUUCUACACAAUAUGUACCCCUUUGAGAGGUUCAUGGGAGUCCUAAAUAAAUAUGUCCGUAACCGCGCUAGGCCAGAAGGAAGCAUCUCCAUGGGCCAUCAAACAGAGGAUGUCAUUGGGUUGUGUUGACUUCAUUCCAGGCCUUAAGAAGAUAGGUCUCCCUAAAUCGCGGUAUGAGGGGAGACUGACUGGAAAAGGCACGCUUGGAGGGGACUCAAUAAUAUGUAGGGACGGGCAUUCUUGGUCUCAAGCACACUACACAGUUCUACAGAACUCUACCUUGGUGACCCUGUAUGUCGAUGAACACAAGAACAGUCUGCGCUCCAAACACCCGAAGCAGUGUGACGACUGGAUUACAUGUGAACACAUCAGGACUUUCAGCAGUUGGUUGGAAACAUGUCUCAGAGGUGACAACACUGUUUGUGAUGAGCUUUACUUGUUGUCCAGGGGACCAUCUUCGACUGUAUUGACUUACAAAGGAUACGAGAUAAAUGGGAAUACAUUUUACACGAUCGCCCAAGAUCAAAAGAGCACCAACCAAAACAGCGGUGACCGCUUUAAUGGAGCAACCAAGAGGGGAAAGGACACAUAUUAUGGUUACAUAGUGGACAUACGGGAACUUGACUACGGACAUGAUUUUAAGGUCCCUUUGUUUAAGUGCAAAUGGGUCAAUCUGUCAGGAGGCGGGGUACAGGUAGACCCACAGUAUGGAAUGACAACAGUGGAUCUGAACAAUCUUGGGUACACUGACGAACCGUUUGUCCUAGCCAAUGAUGUGGCACAGGUUAUCUAUGUGAAGGACAUGUCUACCAAACCGAGAAAAAGAAAAGAUAAGGAAGCGAAUACAUCAUACGAUGAGCCAAAGCGCCACAUAGUUCUUUCAGGAAAAAGGGAAAUUGUGGGAGUGGAGGGCAAGACAGACAUGUCUGAAGAUUAUGAAAAUCUUCAUGAAAUUCCUCCCUUCAAAGUCAAGGCUAACCCAAGCAUCCUGAUAAACGAUGAAGAUUAUCCAUGGUUACGGCGCAAUAAGCAAAGGACACAAGCGAAGAAAAAGUGAAGACUUUCUCUCCACAACUAUUAUGAUGAUACCAUGCCAACUUUCAACCUUUUCGUAGUUCAUUUGAAAUGCCUGUUGUAACAGACGAGUUUCCGUAUGAAACCCUGAUAUCUCGAAACAGAUUGUCCGUUUUGUACACGAAGUGCAUCUAGUUUUUGCCGUAACCCUCUCAAUUUUUUAGCACAUGCUAUGUGGGUGAAAUGAUGAUACCAUGCCAACUUUCAACCUUUUCAGAGUUCAUUUGUAGUGCUUUUCAAUUUCAGGGUCAUUUAGCUCAAAAAUAUCAGUGAAUGCAUGAAAAAUAACAAAUGAAGUCAGAAAGGGUUGAAAAUUGCUGAUGUGGCUUUGAAUGGUGCAUUUUGAACACACAAAGAAUCUGGAGUUCAUAUAAGUUCAAAAGAAUGAAAUCCCUUUGUAACAGAUGAGUUUUCGUCCGAAACCCUGAUACUUCGAAAGAGAUUAUCCGUUUUAUACACGAAGUGCAUCCAGUUUUUGCUGUAACCCUCUCACCUUUUAGCACAUGCUAUGUGGGUGAAAUGAUGAUACCAUGCCAACUUUCAACCUUUUCAGAGUUCAUUUGUAGUGCUUUUCAAUUUCAGGGUCAUUUAGCUCAAAAAUAUCAGUGAAUGCAUGGAAAAUAACAAAUGAAGUCAGAAAGGGUUGAAAAUUGCUGAUAUGGCUUUGAAUGGUGCAUUUUGAACACACAAAGAGUCUGGAGUUCAUAUAAGUUCAAAAAAAUGAAAUCCCUUUAAUGAAACUCUAAUAGCAAAAAUAAUAAACUAAAAGAAUGAACUAGAAAACUUUAAUGAAACUCUAAUAGAAAAAAGAAUGAACUAGAAAAGUUUAAUGAAACUCUAAUAGCAAAAGGAUUCAACUAAAAAUCUUUUAUAAAAUAAAUAAAUAAAGCAAAAAAUAAAAUAAAUGUGUAGAAACAAAAUAAAAUAAAUAAGUGGAAACAAAAUAAACUUUAAUAAAUAAGUAGAAACAAAAUAAACUUUAAUAAAAUAAAUAAAAAUAGCAAGAGGAAGUAUUUUGUUGUAAGUAGAAACAAAAUAAAAUAAAUAAAGCAAAAAAGAAAACAAAAAACUGGGAAAAAAAUAAAAAAAAUGCCACCUACUGGGCCACCACGGCCUGAAUACGACUAGAAACCCAACCAUGGGCCAGGAUUCAGGCCCAUAGAAGGCCCAGUAGGCCCACGGGCAGCAUAGUGUGUGAGUAGGCCCAGUAAGCCUGCAUUUGAGAGGAGCUCGAGUGGGCAGCUGCAGUGGGGCUUAUAAACCACUCCAAGCUCCUCUCAACUAGCGAGGUGGGACUAAACAUUUGGGCGUGGGCAGGACAAGGCCUUUGGUCCCGGUUGGUAGCACCAACCGGGACGAAAGAGGGGCAUUGGUACCGGUUCGUGGCAGCAACCGGGACCAAUGCCCCCUUUAGUCCCGGUAGGUGCCACCAACCGGGACCAAAGGUCUCUGUUUCCCGCCCUUUGGCCUGCUGAAAAGAGGCCUUUGGUCCCGGUUGAUGUUACGAACCGGGACCAAAGGGGUGGAUUCGUCCCGGUUCGUGCCAAGAACCGGGACUAAAGCUUCAUGUAUAUAAAGAACACUUGUGAAAAUUUUGGUUUUCAUCUUGCAGUUUGCCCUCGACGACGCGUGCGGACCUCCUCGACGCCGCCAGGCUGCCGGACACCGUCGCCCACGCCCCCGCCCCGGAGCCCACGCCGACGCCGUCCCGUCCGCCGCCCACGCCGUCGCCUUCGCCCGUGCGCCCCUGNNNNNNNNNNNNNNNNNNNNNNNNNNNNNNNNNNNNNNNNNNNNNNNNNNNNNNNNNNNNNNNNNNNNNNNNNNNNNNNNNNNNNNNNNNNNNNNNNNNNNNNNNNNNNNNNNNNNNNNNNNNNNNNNNNNNNNNNNNNNNNNNNNNNNNNNNNNNNNNNNNNNNNNNNNNNNNNNNNNNNNNNNNNNNNNNNNNNNNNNNNNNNNNNNNNNNNNNNNNNNNNNNNNNNNNNNNNNNNNNNNNNNNNNNNNNNNNNNNNNNNNNNNNNNNNNNNNNNNNNNNNNNNNNNNNAGUCACAGUACUAAAUUAUUAAAUUACAGAGUAAAAAAUUUAUUUGAACAUUCUCUGAUUUAGGUUAGUACAUUAGAUGUUAGGUUAGUGUGCAUUUUAGGUUAGUUGAAUUAGAUGUUUUUUAGUAAGUGUUUAAUAGAAUUAGUUAGAAAAAUAAUAGAACUAGUUAAACUAGUUUAUUUUUAGUAAGUACUACUUUAUUUUAUUUAUAGUAAGUGCUUAGUUGAACUAGUUGAUUUAAUAAAACUAGUUUAUUUUACUAUAGAAGUAGUUUAUUUUUAGUAAGAAAAUUAAUAGAACUAGUUUAUUUAUUUUUUUAGUUAAAGCAAUUAUUCCCGCAUCGACGUCGACGAUGCCUAUCCCACAUCCUCGUCCUCGACUCGGCGGAGGAGGCCUGCUUGAUCAGAGGGGUCAUGUCCGGGACUGGGCUCCGCCGGGCUGGUAUUGGGAGGUGCUACCUUCCGGGGGGCGUAGGUUGGUGAGAAGCCAGCCCGUCGUUGACCCGAUCCUUGUUUGGUGGCGGUCGCGUGGGCCAGUGAUGGUGCCAAGGCUUUCGGACACCGCAGAGGUGGUACGUCACCGUGUCAACGAGGAGGAUGAGCACGUCCGUCGCUACAUGGUUGCGUUGGAGGGCAGGUUCUUCAGGGAUCUCACUGGAGCUAUGAUCCUGUGAUGGUUCCUUCUCUUUGGGUGUCCACCGCCCGCGCCGAUACCCGUCGGGCGCUAUGGUUCUAGCUGUAUUAGCGAUGCUAUAUGUAUGAUACUAUUCGAGGUGUAUUAGUGAUAAUAUUCGACGAUGUACGGACGCAAGAGAUGAUGUAGUUUUGCUUAUAAUUGAAUGCAUGAUAAUUUGAAUACUACUUUAUUUUACGAUUUGGUUUUGCUUAUUGAAUGCUCAGAUUGGAAAACUACUCCUACUUUGAAUGCUAAAAUUGGAGAGCACUAUGCAAGGCGUAUGCAUUUGAUUAGUUGAUAGCUUAUAGGGUUUUUGUUUUUGCAGAAAUCUAGGAGCCCCCUCCAUCAUCCCCGCCGUCGUCCCCGUCACCGACCCCCCUCCGACCUCAAGGUGAGACCAGCCAAAUCUCCAUGUCAAUAUGAGUCCUAUAAGAUAUUUUGAAAUGUUUUUUCUCAUAUUUUCAACCAUUGAAAUGUAAUGGCCAUCAAGUUUGAAUGCUCAUAUGAUGUAGAUAAAAACAUGUACAUUUCCAUUCCGGCAAAUUUCAGGCGCUCGAUAUGUCCUUUUUGGAAAGAUAAUUAAACGAUAUUUCGGGUUGAUUUUAAGUCUAUCGAGUCUCUACCACAUAUGAGAGGACGAAGAAUCCCGACUGUUGUCGUGGGGGUAGCUUCUCCUUCAUUCCCGUGUGCUAGACAAUUUGGUGUAAUGCACUCAGGAACUAAAGGAGGAGCUACCAUCACCGACGGCCGCAAAUGUCAGAGAGGAAUCAGUGAGGGAGAGUCUCCACCAUAUAUAUAUGAGAGGACGAAGAAUCCGGACUGUUGUCGUGGGGGUAGCUUCUCCGUCAUUCCCGUGUGCUAGACAAUUUGGUGUAACGCACUCGGAACGAAAGGAGGAGCUACCAUCACCGACGGUCGAAUAUGUACACCACGUGAGCUGAGAGUUUUCAAGAAAAGACUCGACAGACCGAUAGUCAACCCGUGAUGAAUAAUAAUGAUCUAAUUUAGGGUUUUUAGUACAUAUAUUUAAUUGUACAAGUUUAAUAUUUGAAUUAUGAACAUAGGAAAUGUCGUACUCGGACGACGAAAGUCUCCCGGGGGAGUGCGACUGGUGCCACGACGACCGAGGUCUGUGCGACAGGCCUCACCUAGACGAAGAUCGGUGCUUCAGCAUUAAGAUCGAGGAGACCUUCGAUGUUGAAACGGUACGCAACAACGACAAGUGUUUUUUUUCAUAAUUAAGCACAACUUCAACUAUUUCAACGUGUAAUUUUCAUCUUUUACAAUUCAACUAGCUUAUCCCAUGCCAUGCAAGACGCUGUGUCUUGGAGAGGAUGGGUUUUGAAUACCAUGAAAGUAUGGAAACAAAGAAAAUUCACCUAAGGACCCAUCAUGGUAUGGCUUUCGAAGUAAAUCUGUACAAUUAUGAGAGCGUAACCCAUUUUGGUUGCAAAAAAUGGGAAGCACAUUGCAAAAUGUAUGGUUUUCAUGAGGAUAUGCUUGUCAGCAUGGAUCUUGGUGAUCCUGAAAUCGAGCAAGACAAUAUGGACAUUUGGGUCCUUGUUGAUACACCUCCAAUUGUACCGCUAUGUGAAUUUCUCAAACAUAGUUUUAACUAAUUUAUAUUGUUUAUUUCAAAAUAGUUGACAGCUUAUUUCCAUUGACAGCUUAUUUUCAUUCUUCAAAGAAUGUGCGGAAGAUGGUAGACAAAACCCACUACACCAAUGGCUCCGAAUUAACUUAUCAGGAGAAAAAUCAUCUGAUCGCAUUUUGUACUGAUCUUGAGAAUUACAAUAUCUACAAUCAAACUCCUCAACAUUAUGGUCAAUACAUGCCACUAGUGCACGUGUUGAACUACGGUAACUACCACGGAGAUACCCUGGUAAGAUUUUGUACUAUUACGACAUCCGUGCAUCUAUUGCAUACUUCUAAAACUAGUACGUCAUUGCUAACUAUGAAGUUAUUACUAUGUUUUUCAACAGAGAAUACCGACAGAUUGUGUGCCUCAUUUGAUGUAUCAGAAUGGUAGCCUUGAUGUUUUGAACAUACAUCCAGGUCAUCCUAUGAAUCUCAACUGUCCAUACCGGAUUUCUAAAAGAAGUGGAGACAUGCUAAUCAAAGAAUGGAAAAAAUGUAUGGACGGUCGUAAGGAGGUUCUUGGAAGCAAAAGGAAGCGAAGCGCAAGAAUUGGAGACAGGAUGAUCUCCAUUCUCCAUAAUGGAGAGUCAGGGUCUAUAUUGUUUUAUGCUAUUUUACCUUAAAGAGGGUAUUUAGGUCCUACCUAAUACUGAUGAUCAUGUGCUAAGAACAAUUAAGUAGGGUUGGUUCGAGACUAUGAGGAUGAUGAUCGUAUGACUUGUUAUUAAUAACGAGUAGAAGUUAUAUGAUGAUGAUUAGUAGGACUUGUUAUUAUGAUGAUGCAUGAUGCAAGCAUGAAGAGUUAUUAUAUAUCAGUGGGUGAAAUGAACAUGGAUUGGAUUAAAGUGAAGGCAACAUGCAUGUGGUGCAUGUCAAAAGUAGUACAAUCCAAACUUGAUCAAGUUAGGAUUAGUAUUACUUUCGACAUGCACCACAUGUUGCCUUCACUUCAAUCUAAGCAUUGUUUAGGCAUAGCAGUAGCGUUGGUAAACCAAGGGCGGAGAUAAGAGAGGACACUUCUCUCUAUUAGCUAGCUAACAACCUAAAUUAACCCCCAAAACCCCUAAACCACCCCCUUUCAAAAAAAACCUCAGCUCCUGCUAGCUGCUGACGCGUGGAUGCCUUUUGGUCUCGGUUGGUGCCACCAACCGGGACCAAAGGCCCUCCUGCCUGGGCUCGCCGCAGUGGCCACGUGGAGGCCCAUCUGUCCCGGUUCGUAUAAGAACCGGGACUAAAGGCCUAGGGCUUUAGUAACGACCCUUUAGUCCCGGUUCCACAACCGGGACAGAUGGGCCUUACGAACCGGGACAAAUGGCCCUUUUUCUACUAGUGAUGCUCGGCAAUAAUUCGUAUGUCAUUUACCAUGUAAGCUUACUACCUGGAUAAUGCGAUAAAUAUCUCUUACUUAUGUCCAGCGGAAACCUUUCAGGAUGUUGUUCACACUAGGACACAAUGUACAACCCCAGAAUCUAUUUGUGGAAGCAGUGCGCCAUCCAUGUUACGAGAUGGUAGCAGUUCACAGGCAACACUGUCGGAGAGCAGUCUGAGCACAAAUAUUAUAGUUCUUGAGGCUCUACUAGAGGCAGAAAGAGAUGGUGUGGCUGCCAUGAAUGAGGUAAUCUUUAUCUUGAGGCUGGAAGUAACGCAAUUACCUACACGCAUUAUGCAAGCAACCCAAGAAUUGGAGGAAGUAAGAAUGUUGCAUUUGAAGAUGGAGGAGGUCCUGUUGUUUCUGCUAUCUGAAGCCCAGGGUAAUCCUAGUUCUUCUUUAGAUACCAGUUGAAAUUUUCAUUAGAUUAUUGUACUUGCAUGUUGUGUCAUGUCUCUGAAUGGAUUAUGUUGUAAGACCCCCUAUGUUGUCCAUGUGUUGUAAUGAUCUAAAUUUUUUAGGCGAGGUAAUCCUUAGUACUUGUAUGAUUGACAUAAGGUGAACUGUUUUUCGUGUGAGCAUAUUGUAUUAGAUGAAAUAACUGUUUGACUCAAAGUGUAUCCAACCUACUGAAUUCGAAGAUCACGACAUGUCUAAAUCAUAAUCAUAUAUAAAGGUGGAAUAAAUCUUUGUUGUGGUUUUGAACAAGGGACAAUUGCAUUUUUACCCCUAGUUGGUUCCUACCCACGGGUUUUGCCCUUAAUUUUCGAGCUUGCUCAGUUUUGCCCUUACUUUUUCCGUCGAGGUCCCUCGAAUGCCCUUUAACCGUUUGACCAAAACUUUGAAAAUUCAUAACCAAUUCAUAUGAACUCAGAAAAAUACAAAUAAGAUAUCAAAAUGUUCAGAUAAACAUUACUUUUGUGUGCAUAUCAUUUGCACUAAGGACAAAAGCACCCUUUAAACUACCUGAGGUAAUUAAUGUUAUUAACAUUAUUAAAAAUAAAAAGGUAUAAACAAUAUUUUUUUUCAUGAAUAAAAAUUACAUGCAAAUGUAGGUGAUGUUUUCUGAACAUCCAGAUAUCUUAUUUGCAUUUUUCUGAGUUCGUAUCAUCUUGUUAAGAAUGUUCUAACGACUUUGACCAUUAUUUGGAAACUUCAUAACAAGUUGAUACGAACUCAGAAAAAUGCAAAUAAGAUAUCAGGAUGUUCAGAAAACAUCACCUGCAUCUGCAUGUAAUUUUAAUUCAUGAAAAAAUAUUUUUAUACCUUUUUAUUUUUAAUAAUUUUAAUAACAUUAAUUACCUCAGGUAGUUUAAAGGGUGCGUUUGUCCUGAAUGCAAAUGAUAUGCACAUAAAGGUAAUGUUUAUCUGAACAUUUUAUAUCUUAUUUGCAUUUUUAUGAGUUCAUAUGAAUUAGUUAUGAGUUUUCAAAGUUUUGGUCAAACGGUCAAAGGGCAUUCGAGGGACCUCGACGGAAAAAGUAAGGGCAAAACUGAGCAAGCUCGAAAAGUAAGGGCAAAACCCGUGGGUAGGAACCAACUAGGGGUAAAAAUGCAAUUGUCCCUUUGAACAAAUAAAUAACAAACGUAGAAUUACUUGUGGAUAUUCGUACAAAUUGGAUUUGAAUUUAGUUGCCAGGGCCCAAGGCAAACGUGAAUGCUAAUUUUCCCAAGUUUUGAACGAAGCGGCUAAACACCCACUAUCAUUUGUGGGCUGCCCGAAGCAAGUGUUUGCCAGACGGAAAUUACUGUCUACCCCUGACACUUUGACAUCCUUAUCAACCGGAUUUACACUUCUGUCGAUAGGGGUAGACUAGUAACUUCAAUCAGACAUGACACGACCGCCUGUGAGCCCAUUUAGACACGGUGGGUGCCAAACGUGUGGGCAAAACACAUUUGAUUCAAGCUCGCCCGAAAGACAUGUGUCUCUCCCUCCAUUUCCCCAUUCAUACACGGUGGGCGGCAAAACAAACUCUCCUCGUCCGAAAUCGAUGUAGGCAAAUAUUUUAAAUAGGGGCAGAUGUGUAACUUCCCUCAGACGUGACACAACCGCCCUACCUGUCAGCCCCGUUCAUACACCGUGGGCGCCAACCGUGGGCGGCUAAACACCCUCUCCUCGCCCGAAAUCGCUACCGGCAAAUAUUUGGGAGAUGCGAGAUUACCGUCCUAUCCCCAACCGACGUGAUGUCCGAAAUUUUAAACGGGGGAUAAGUUCGUAACUUUCCCACAUUUCAGACAAGCGCGUCCCAAAGUUUGUGAUCCCCCCCUCCCCCUCCGUUUCCCCAUUCAUACACCGUCGGCGCCACAACAACCUCCUCAAUGUGGUCAGCCUCCGUCGUCCUCCACCCCAUCCUCCACCUUGCCGGAGCCGCUACCCCUACCCCGUCUUCCACUGCAGGAGAUGGACGUCUCUCAUCCACGGCGCCGGACCAGGAUCCUUUAUCGUGUCCUCUCGCUUCAUCGGCGUCGUCGUCCACGUUGUCGUUGCCGCUCCUACGACCGCCUCGUCCACGGCAACAGGAUUUAUCCCCCGGCCUGCCGUCUGCCAUCUAAAGUCUUCUUCCCCGCCGCCGACAGCCAUCGCACCCGCAGCACCCUCAACGUAUCAGCAGGGGCCUACACGGCGUCGCAAGAGAGGUGGUACUCUUCUAUAUGAGCUUAAGUUAUUGAUCUCAUCCAAAAAUAGAUCAUAAAUUAUUUACUGUACUUUUCUUGUCCGUACCAAAUCGUAGUGGCUAGUUGAAAGCAAACAUUGGUUGCGAAGUAGCUUUGUUCGGUUUGCACCUUCAGAUCCUCCAUGGCACGGUCACUAUACUCGUAAAGCUUAUGGUCACCCCUUUAUAUUCACUACCAUCAUCGUAGGUGCUUCGUGUCGUGCUAGCACUGCUCCUCAUGACCUCAACCCAUCAAGUGAAACAACAUGCCACUCAUAAUUCCAAAGCUUAGGUGUUGAAAUACGAAUCUGAUAUGAUGCUCAUAUUACUAAAAUAGAGAACUUUUAAUUGGUCACCUAAUGUUCCUAUAUUCAUUUCGAAAAGCAUCUGCGCCACCCACUAGUCCAGCUAGUUCCACUUUCCUGAUUUUACUCUUGAUGCUUAGGGUUUUCCUCUUUUAUCUACUCUACUAUGACCUGCAUAGGUGCUUUCUGUCGUACUAGCAUUACUCCACCCUUCAAGCUAAACAACACAACACUCAAAAUUCCAAAGCUUAGUUGUUCAAUAUGUUUGUGAUAUGAUACUGAUAUUAGUUAAUAGACACAUUUAGUUGGUCAGCUAAAGGUCCCACUUGAGUUUCCAAAUGCAUGUCGCGACAUAUAGAGAGACAGCAGAAUUGCAUUUCUUUGUCACUUGUAGACUGUACUUUCUUGUCCAUACCAAAUCUUAGUUGUUAUUUCAAAGAAAACAUCGGUUGCUAACUACCCUUUGCGCGGUUUGCAGCUUCAGAUCUGCCAUCCCACUGCCACGGUCAACACUAUACUCAUCAUGCUUACGGUUUCCCAAUUUUAUGAUGAUCACAUCAGCCUACGUGGUUCGUGUCGUAAUAGCACUUCUCCACCCAUCGAGCUAAACAAGCUUUUACAAAUUCAAAUAUGAUAUUAUGCUGAUAUUAGUAAAACUGAGAGAUGUUUAAUUGGUCAGCUAAAUGUUCCUACUUUAGUUUCGAAAUGCAUGUGAGCCACAUAUGGAGACACCGGAAGGAAUAGUAUUUAUCUGUGCGCUCUGGUUCAUCAUGGGUGGGCAAUCGACAUUGUAUAGAAAGACUUGUACUAUCUUCAAUCUGCUUGAUCUUCUGCUCUUCUUUAAGAUGAUCCUCUUCUCUUCUUUAAUAAGUAUGUUCCUUGUUGGGAAGAGUAGCAGAGACAUUUGUGGUCGACUGGUCAGGUCGAGUUGUUCUCCCUUAGUAUAUUUUGAAUCUGUCAAGUCAGGUUGACUUGUUCUUCUUUACUAUAUGUUGAAGCUGCCAUCUGCGAAGUAUCAUCACUUCUGGAGCUCUCAUAUUCUGAGUAGUAGGCCACAUUAUAUUAAUGCACACACCAAAUUACAACAUUCAUGGCAUCUCUCAGAAGAAUUGCAGAGAUAGCACAAAGGGGUUUACAGGGAGGCAAUAUUGGAUUAGAAUCACUUCUGCAUUACAAAGAUAAUCUCACUUUUUUUUUGUUUUCAUGCAUGUCAGGUAUUGAACAUUAUCAAAAUGAAUAUGAGAAUGGGCGCACGAAGGAAUAUUGCGGAACAAUCCACUGGCUAACAAACUUGGGAUGGUGGAGGAUGGCUUAUCUUAUUCACCCAUCAAGGUGCUUGCUCUAACUUGGCAAGGUUGUAUUGGUCGCAAAUAUUUUGCAUCUGACCUCUUGCAUUACUUCUACUUUGUUACACCAUCUGCUUAGUUUAAGCAUCAUAUAUGAGUAUAUGCCAUACCUAUCCAUUUUCUGACCUAUUCCAUGUGUCGUCAUACUAUGUUUUUCUAGUCAAAUGUUGUUCUUUUGUAAUAGAUGUCCAAAAGGAAGAGGGUAAGUGCAGAUCCUCAAGGAGUACAAACUAGGUAUUGGAAAAGGUAAUGAUACCUGUUAAAUCAGAUAGAUCAGCAGCCACAGAAAACACAGACCCAACUGUACCACACUUUACCCCUACUCCACUGGCCAAACCCUUAUUAGAACUGCUGAGAGCCCAGCGUCAGGUACUGUCUAUGAUAUCAACUGAAAAUUUGGACUCCUAAAUUUCUGCAUGUGCCUUACCUUCUCUCUUGUAUGAAAACUAAUUUCAGAUGAAUCGCCUUGCUCAAAGGAUCAUAGGAUCUCACAACAAUACUGGGCUCUGCAUUGCUCUUGUCAGUACCUCUUGCCCUUUGUCAGCAUACUUACACUCAUUGUUGUUUGAUCAUGUAGCAUCACUGUAAAUGUGCGCUUCUUUAUCCUCCCUUUGCUUGAAAUUAUAAGAUCUAUAUUUACUCUUAGAUAAAUGUAGAACACAAUGGUUAUGAAGUUUUGGAUUGCUCAUGUAAGUACCUGUUGUCAUGUACCACCUCUGUAUCGAAUUAAUUGUUGAUCAAUUGGAUGUAUUUACAACUUAAUAGUGCUAGAUACAUCCAUUUGAGCGACAAGUAAUAAUGGACGGUGGUGGUAUUACUGUACUUGCAUCGUGAGAUAGUUGAUUGUCUAGCAUUACUCUGCAUCUUAUCUUCCCUGCCUUCCACUUUCUCCAAAUUAUCAUAUCUACAUUUACUCUUACCAAAAUGUUGAAUAAAGCCAAUGCCACUGCACAUGUUGAUGUCUGCAUUCCUCUUGUCAGUACCUUUUUCCUUGUAACCCUGUACUUAAUUAAUUGCUAUUUGAUUAUGUAUCAUCAGUCUGCACCUGAGCUUCAUUAUCCUAUGCUUCUUCCAAUAUUAUUUGAUCUAUAUUUACUCUUUGCAAAAUGUAGAAUAAUGGCAAUGCUUAUAAAGAAUUUUCUUUGGGGAAUUUAUUGAAUUAUCCUUCCAUCAACAUGGAGAAAGGCUAUGUCCAGCCCGUGUUAACAUGUAAUGUAAGUUCAUCCUUCUCAAGCCUUCAAACUUUGUUCUAUUAUAGAUUUGGAUAGGCAUCAUUUCCUCAGUGUUGUAUACUUUGCUGUUUACAUUUGAUUGGAUGUUUGCAACAACUACCAGUAUUAAAUUGUAGUUUAAAAACAUGUUCCUUAUGCAGAACAGAUCCAUUUAUUUGCUUAUAUAAUUGUGAAACCUGUUACGUGUCUCCUUGUUUCUCUUUCAGAGUCGUAUCUCUUAUGCCAGGCAGAACUUUAAGUAAGAUAGUGAGCCAAACCAUAUUGAGGACAACGAGAUGACCCCGAGGUCCUGUCUUGAUGAAGAUAGUGAGUUGAAGCUACUCACCAGCAGGUGUGAGACAACCACUGUGCAGUCGCUGCCUUAAUCAGUUCGACUUCUUCAGUCUCAACUUAAAGCGGAAAGUCUUGCUUCAGCUCAGCUCUGACUUGAAGUCAAAGAUGCAAUGAAGAUGUCAGAGGACUGCCUUGCGCACUAUGGUGCCAUACAGCUAGGGAUGGAGCAUCUAUCGUUGACACAACUGAGGUCUCAUCAGCUUGUUCGGCUGCUUGCGGGGCCCGUCCUGGCCAGGCCUAGUGCCUUCUGAAGUGCUCUUAGUUUUGUAUAUUAUUUUGUCGGCGCGUUUAUAUGCACUGGUGGUGACCUUUGAUGCCUAAUGUAUGUAAUCCGCGGUCACAUUGCGCUUUAUUAUCACCGGUAGCGAACUUUGAUUCCCAGUGAUGUAAUAUGCCGUAAUUUCUUUAUUGUAUAGUCUAGGUUUAUUAUUUGGUCGGUAUGCUGUAAUUUAGGCCGAAAGGUUUAGUGGAUCUCAGUGUUGUCGGUCUUCAGGCCGUCCCGUUACUCAUAUGGGCCAAAACGUGGGCCUAUAAUCAUCUUGGGCCAUUAGCAGGUCUAAACCUAUAGUAGUUUCCCGCCUUUAACAGGCCGAGUAAAGUUCUAGCCAGCUGCGCCAGAGAAUACCAUGGGCUUUUAACAGGAUAAAACCUAGAUUGGGGUAGCAUUGGGCCGAAAAAUUCACGGGCCAAUACAGGCCGAAACUGCCUAAGGCCCAUGUUUGGCCCAAAUAGGACGAGCAGUUAACAAGCCAAAAUAUAUCUCGGGCCUGUUUGGCCCAAUAAAAUUAUGGGUUUAAGCAGGCUGGUAUCCACACGGGCCAUAGGCCCAAAAGUGUCACGAGCCAUUAUCAGAUAGGCUGUAAGUAGGCCGGAUUCAACGCGGGCUGUAAUUAGGCACAACUAUUACACUGGCCAUUAACAAGCCGAUAGGCCAGUUGGGCUGAAAUUUACCACGAAGACUAUGGGCUGUUAAGAGGCCUAAAGUUACUUCGAACAAGAAAUAGCCCAGUUUCUGCAUGGGCCGUUAAAUGGCCUAAAGUUAAACCGGGCCGGCAACGUCCCAGAUGCACCACGGGCCGCUAACAUGCCGAAACUAUUAUCGGGCCGAACUGGUAAACGAGCAUUUAACAGGCUGAAAUACAAACAUGUCUUAGAAUGUGCCCAAAAGAACAGUGGCCUGUUAACGGGCCUGAUCCGAUAUGGGCCGUAAUUUGGCCCAAAACACGGCAGGCUGUGAACGAGCCUGAUCUGGUAUGGGGCUCAAUUUGACCCAAAACAUGGCAGGCUGUUAACGUGCCAGCCCACUAGUGUCUGAAAAAACAUGAUGGGCCUUUAGCUGGGCCAGCCUUUUCACCGGAAUGGGCCUUUGUUGGGCCGUGCCAUGUGUCGACGUAUCAUAGGCGCCUCAUGUCCAAUGAGUGGAUGACAUCUGUCCCAACGGUGAGCAAACACGUGCUUCCUCCGGCCAAUGAGAAUUUUACACGUGGAAAAUCCCCAUUGGUCCGGGCUGUUAACGGGUUAUCGGAUCCAAAACCGGACCCGAUAGCUUAACGGCGACCUGUUACAGUCGAUGCCACGUGUCGGUCACCCUUGACGAAAGCACUUCUAUGACGCGCGAUUUAUUGUCAUGGAAGAGGACACUUCCGUGAUGAUAAUUUUGGUAAUGUCAUGGAACACUUAUACGACAGCACAUGAAUGACUAUCUUGAUUCUGUCAUAAAAUCGUCAUGGAUGUACAUGCAUGACAGAAAACGUGACCUACUGUGACAAACAUGUAUCAUCAUGGAACUCGGAGUGACAAAUCCUAAUCUCGAUCUAUGCCAACCCAACAAACACCUUCGGAGAUACCUGUGGAGCAUAUUUAUAAUCACCCAGUUACGUUGUGACGUUUGAUAGCACACAAGGUAUUCCUCUGGUAUCCGGGACCUGCAUAAUCUCAUAGUCGAAGGAAUAUGUAUUUGACAUGAAGAAAGCAAUAGCAAUAAAACUGAACGAUCAUAAUGCUAAGCUAACGGAUGGGUCUUGUCCAUCACAUCAUUCUCCUAAUGAUGUGAUCCCGUUAUCAAAUGACAACUCAUGUCCAUGGUUAGGAAACCUUAACCAUCUUUGAUCAACGAGCUAGUCAAGUAGAGGCUCACUAGGGACGCGGUGUUUGUUUAUGUAUUCACACAUGUAUUUAGCUUUCCGAUCAAUACAAUUCUAGCAUGAAUAAUAAAACUUUAUCAUGGAUAAGGAAAUAUAAAAUAACAACUUUAUUAUUGCCUCUAGGGCAUAUUUCCUUCAGUCUCCCACUUGCACUAGAGUCAAUAAUCUAAUUCACAUCGCCAUGUGAAUAACACUCAAAGAGUAAUGAGGUGUGAUCAUGUUUUGCUUGCGAGAGAAGUUUGGUCAACGGGUCUGUUACAUUCAGAUCCGUAUGUAUUUUGCAAAUUUCUAUGUCUAAAAUGCUCUGCAUGGAGCUACUCUAGCUAAUUGCUCCAACGUUCAAUAUGUAUCCAGAUUGAGACUUAUAGUCAUCUAGAUUAGUGUCAAAGCUUGCAUCGACGUAACUCUUUACAACGAACUCUUUAUCACCUCCAUAACCGAGAAACAUUUCCUUAGUCCUCUUUAAGGCACCUAAGGAUAAUUUUGACCGCUGUCCAGUGGUCCACUCAUGUCCAUGGUCAGGAAACCUUAACCAUCUUUGAUCAAUGAGCUAGUCAAGUAGAAGCUCACUAGGGACACGGUAUUUGUUUAUGUAUUCUCACAUGUAUUUAGGUUUCUCAUCAAUACAAUUCUAGCAUGAAUAAUAAACAUUUAUCAUGAAUAAGGAAAUAUAAAAUAACAACUUUAUUAUUGCCUCUAGGGCAUAUUUCCUUCACCGACAUAGGCCACCACUGCCAGUCUAAGUCGCUGCUCUAGAUCAUCCAUCUCCGGGUUCUGACAGAGGACAAAGAUGCCACCGACUUCUUGCCCAGACCCCAUAGGCACGGUGUCAACCGCUAUCGGCAAGGGCCUCACCACCGGAGAGACCUACCGAGUCGUCGGCGACAGCCUGCUCGCAGGUCCGGCAGGCAGCAACGGUAGGGUUGUCCGUGCCACCUUGGCCACGGCAUCACGCCAGAGCUCCUCCUCCGACCUAGGGCUCCUUGGCCACUUGCAUUUCGAGGAGAUAUGGCCCUCGAGACCGCAAGGGAUGCACAUCGGCUUGAACGUGCAAUCUUCCUUGUGGUGACCCUCCCGGAAGCACUUGAAGCAGAGGUCGAACAUGUCCGAUGGGAUUUCUCUCCUUUCCAGCAAGGAGGAUGACGAGCGCGGUCUCGACCUGCCCGCUUCCGCCUGCUUUUGAAGCACCUUCCUCUUGCACCACAUCGCCUUGUGUGAGGGGCGUGGCUUCCUCCAUGGCGCCGUCGGGCCCGAAGCAGGGCCAUGUUGGGGAACGUAGUAAUUUCAAAAAAAUUCCUACGCACACGCAAGAUCAUGGUGAUGCAUAGCAACGAGAGGGGAGAGUGUUGUCCACGUACCCUCGUAGACCGAAAGUGGAAGCGUUAACACAACGCGGUUGAUGUAGUCGUACAUCUUCACGAUCCGACCGAUCAAGUACCGAACGCACGGCACCUCCGAGUUCAGCACACGUUCAGCUCGAUGACAUCCCUCGAACUCCGAUCCAGCCGAGUGUUGAGGGAGAGUUUCGUUAGCACGACGGCGUGGUGACGAUGAUGAUGUUUUACCCACGCAGGGCUUCGCCUAAGCACCGCUACGAUAUUAUCGAGGUGUAAUAUGGUGGAGGGGGGCACCGCACACGACUAAGAGAUCAAUAGAUCAAUUGUGUGUCUCUGGGGUGCCCCCCUGCCCCCGUAUAUAAAGGAGCAAGGGGGGAGGCGGCCGGCCUAGGAGGAGGGCGCGCCAAGGGGGGAGUCCUACUCCCACCCACCGGGAGUAGGACUCCUCCUUUCCUUGUUGGAGUAGGAAAAGGGAAGGGAGAAGGAGAAAGAAGGAAGGGGGCGCCCCCUCCCCCCCCCCCUCCCUAGUCCAAUUCGGACUAGUCCAUGGGGAGGGGUGCGGCCUCCCUUUGGGGCCUUUCUCUCCUUUCCCGUAUGGCCCAUUAAGGCCCAAUACGAAUUCACGUAACUCUCCGAUACUCCAAAAAAUACCUGAUUCACUCGGAACCUUUCCGAUGUCCGAAUAUAGUCGUCCAAUAUAUCGAUCUUUAUGUCUCGACCAUUUCGAGACUCCUCGUCAAGUCCCUGAUCUCAUCCGGGACUCCGAACUCCUUUGGUACAUCAAAACAUAUAAACUCAUAAUAUAACUGUCAUCGUAACGUUAAGCGUGCGGACCCUACGGGUUCGAGAACUAUGUAGACAUGACCGAGACACCUCUCCGGUCAAUAACCAAUAGCGGAACCUGGAUGCUCAUAUUGGCUCCCACAUAUUCUACGAAGAUCUUUAUCGGUCAAACCGCAUAACAACAUACGUUGUUCCCUUUGUCAUCGGUAUGUUACUUGCCCGAGAUUCGAUCGUCGGUAUCUCAAUACCUAGUUCAAUCUCGUUACCGGCAAGUCUCUUUACUCGUUCCGUAAUACAUCAUCCCGCAACUAACUCAUUAGUUACAAUGCUUGCAAGGCUUAUAGUGAUGUGCAUUACCGAGUGGGCCCAGAGAUACCUCUCCGACAAUCGGAGUGACAAAUCCUAAUCUCGAAAUACGCCAACCCAACAAGUACCUUUGGAGACACCUGUAGAGCACCUUUAUAAUCACCCAGUUACGUUGUGACGUUUGGUAGCACACAAAGUGUUCCUCCGGUAAACGGGAGUUGCAUAAUCUCAUAGUCAUAGGAACAUGUAUAAGUCAUGAAGAAAGCAAUAGCAACAUACUAAACGAUCGAGGGUUAAGCUAACGGAAUGGGUCAAGUCAAUCACAUCAUUCUCCUAAUGAUGUGAUCUAGUUAAUCAAAUGACAACCCAUGUCAAUGGCUAGGAAACUUAACCAUCUUUGAUCAACGAGCUAGUCAAGUAGAGGCAUACUAGUGACACUCUGUUUGUCUAUGUAUUCACACAUGUAUUAUGUUUCCGGUUAAUACAAUUCUAGCAUUAAUAAUAAACAUUUAUCAUGAUAUAAGGAAAUAAAUAAUAACUUUAUUAUUGCCUCUAGGGCAUAUUUCCUUCAGGCCAGUGGGCACCUCGCCCGCCCCCGCCGAGGCGUGCGCAGAUGCAGGCGACGCCGACCACCACAGGCCAGAAACCACAGGGUGCAGCCUCGAGGACACUGACGCCGGGCUAGCAGAGUCGGGCGCCAUGGCCGCAGGACCAGAGAGGUCAGCUGCGCCGAGCGGGUGGGCGCCGGAGACCGGAGUGGUCACUGGCGAAGGGUGGGUGGGCGUCGGGGCCAGAGUCGAGGGAGGGGAGAGCAAAGUUGUGUCAAGCCUACUAUUUUCAAAGGUACCUUGUAUCAGACAUGUCGUUUCGUUGUUAUGGAAUGGAGCCGGGGCUGUAGCCAUUUUCCUCUAAAUAUAAAUGGAGCAAGGCCAUGGGUGUACGAUACUAAUGCUUACCAGCUUGACAGGAUACUGAGCAGGAAGCUCCAGAUGCCUCGAUUCUGAUGGAGCAGGUCUUGAUGCGUAAACGACAGCCAAAUCGAUCACCCCGCGCGGCCUGGGCGAGGCCGGCAUUCCGUCGAACAGAGUGCGGGCACCCGCUUACUCUUUCCUCGACGGCGAAGCCUUCAGUCUCUGUUCCCCUCGAUGGAGACGCGCUCGGCCGAGGCAGAGGCCCCCACGCGGCAGGGGCACUUGUGGCGUGGCGCCCCGAGCCGCGGCCACCUGCGUGCCCAGAUUCCAUCGCCCCACCUCAGUGCUCGCGCGCGCGACGCGAGUAGGCGCGAGUGCGGCACGAAUCUGAUCCUCCCAUAUAAGAAGAAGAGGGGGUGAGUGGGCGGAUGGGAACACGGCCCAGCCCGCGAAACCGAAUCCUCCCUCCUCCUCCUCCUCCGGGUGCUGCUUCGGAAUCGGUACGACUGAUCCCCUCCCAUCUCCAUUUCUAUAGAGUUUCGUAUUGAUUUCUCUUUUCCCCUUGCUUGAUCUCCGCGGGCUCGUUCAUUAUCUGGUUCUCACGAAUUUGUUUGGCUCAUCGGUGGCUUAAUUUGUGAAGUGUGAUCCUUGUUCACCGUGGAUUUCCUCAUCUGCGCGUCAAUUUUCAGAUUGAAUAAUAGGUCAUCAGUCCGGAAUUAUAUGUGGCAAGUGGGAAUCCUAAUCCAUACUUUCCUUUCCCUUCCCCCCUUUCCUUCUCCUCCUCCUAUAGCCUUAUAGGGCGCACCAGCCCCUUGUGGGCUGGUGUGUUCCUUCACAAGGCCCAUAUGGCCCAUAGGAUUGCCGGGGGUACCCGAAACACCUUCCGGUGACCCGAUAAGUACCAGAUACCCUCCGGAACACUUCCGGUGUCCGAAUACUAUCGUCAUAUAUAUCAAUCUUUACCUCUCGACCAUUUCAAGACUCCUCAUCAUGUCUGUGAUCUCAUCCGGGAUUCUGAACAACAUUCAGUCACCAAAUCACAUAACUCAUAUAAUACUAUAUCGUCAUCGAACGUUAACGUGCGGACCCUACGAGUUCGAGAACUAUGUAGACAUGACCGAGACACCUCUCCGGUCAAUAACCAAUAGCGAAACCUGGAUGCUCAUAUUGGCUCCUACAUAUUCUACAAAGAUCUUUAUCGGUCGAACCGUUAUGACAACAUACGUUAUUCCCUUUGUGCAUCAGUAUGUUACUUGCCCGAGAUUCGAUCGUCGGUAUCUUCAUACCUAGUUCAAUCUCGUUACCGGCAAGUCUAUUUACUCGUUCCGUAAUACAUCAUCUUGCAACUAACUCAUUAGUCACUUUGCUUGCAAGGCUUCUUAUGAUGUUUAUUACCGAGAGGGCCCAGAGAUACCUCUCCGAAACUCAGAGUGCCAUAUCCUAAUCUCGAUCUAUGCCAACCCAACAAACACCUUCGGAGAUACCUGUGGAGCAUAUUUAUAAUCACCCAGUUACGUUGUGACGUUUGAUAGCACACAAGGUAUUCCUCCGGUAUCCGGGAGUUGAAUAAUCUCAUAGUCGAAGGAAUAUGUAUUUGACAUGAAAAAAGCAAUAGCAAUAAAACUGAACGAUCAUAAUGCUAAGCUAACGGAUGGGUCUUGUCCAUCACGUCAUUCUCCUAAUGAUGUGACCACGUUAUCAAAUGACAACUCAUGUCCAUGGUUAGGAAACCUUAACCAUCUUUGAUCAACGAGCUAGUCAAGUAGAGGCUCACUAGGGACACGGUGUUUGUUAUGUAUUCACACAUGUAUUUAGCUUUCCGAUCAAUACAAUUCUAGUAUGAAUAAUAAAACUUUAUUAUGAAUAAGAAAAUAUAAAAUAACAACUUUAUUAUUGCCUCUAGGGCAUAUUUCCUUCAGUCUCCCACUUGCACUAGAGUCAAUAAUCUAAUUCACAUCGCCAUGUGAAUAACACUCAAAGAGUAAUGAGGUGUGAUCAUGUUUUGCUUGUGAGAGAAGUUUAGUCAACGGGUCUGUUACAUUCAGAUCCGUAUGUAUUUUGCAAAUUUCUAUGUCUAAAAUGCUCUGCAUGGAGCUACUCUAGCUAAUUGCUCCCACGUUCAAUAUGUAUCCAGAUUGAGACUUAUAGUCAUCUAGAUUAGUGUCAAAGCUUGCAUCGACGUAACUCUUUACAACGAACUCUUUAUCACCUCCAUAACCGAGAAACAUUUCCUUAGUCCUCUUUAAGGCACCUAAGGAUAAUUUUGACCGCUGUCCAGUGGUCCAUUCAUGUCCAUGGUCAGGAAACCUUAACCAUCUUUGAUCAACAAGCCAGUUAAGUAGAGGCUCACUAGGGACAUGGUAUUUGUUUCGAUCAAUACAAUUCUAGUAUGAAUAAUAAACAUUUAUCAUGAAUAAGGAAAUAUAAAAUAACAAUUUUAUUAUUGCCUCUAAGGCAUAUUUCCUUCACCGACAUAGGCCACCACUGCCAGUCUAAGUCGCUGCUCUAGAUCAUCCAUCUCCGGGUUCCGACAGAGGACAAAGAUGUCACCGACUUCCUGCCCAGACCCCAUAGGCAUGGUGUCAACCGCUACUGGCGAGGGCCUCACCACCAGAGAGACCUACCGAGUCGCCAGCGACAGCCUGCUCGCAGGUCUGGCAGGCAGCAACGUAGGGUUGUCCGUGCCACCUUGGCCACGGCAUCACGCCAGAGCUCCUCCUCCGACCUAGGGCUCCUUGGCCACUUGCAUUUCAAGGAGAUAUGGCCCUCGAGACCGCAACGGAUGCACACCGGCUUGAACGUGCAAUCUUCCUUGUGGUGACCCUCCCGGAAGCACUUGAAGCAGAGGCCGAACAUGUCCGAUGGGAUUUCUCUCCUUUCCAGCAAGGAGGAUGACGAGCACGGUCUCGACCUGCCCGCUUCCGCCUGCUUUUGAAGCGCCUUCCUCUUGCACCACAUCGCCUUGUGUGAGGGGCCUGGCUUCCUCCAUGACGCCGUCGGUCCCGAAGCAGGGCCAGGGGGCACCUCGCCCACCCCCGCCGAGGCGUGCGCAGAUGCAGGAGACGCCAACCACCACAAGCCAGAAACCACAGGCUGCAGCCUCGAGGACACCGACGCCAUGGCCGUAGGACAAGAGGGGUCAGCUGCGCCGAGCAGGUGGGCGCCGGAGACCGGAGUGGUCAUUGGCCAAGGGUGGGUGGACGUCGGGGCCAGAGUCGAGGGAGGGGAGAGCAAAGUUGUGUCAAGCCUACUACUCCCUCCGUGCGGAAAUACUUGUCGGAUGAAUGGAUGUAUCUAGAUGUAUUUUAGUUUUAGAUGCAUCCAUUUAUAUUCAUUUUCGUGACAAGUAUUUUCGGACGGAGGGAGUAUUUUCAAAGGAGGGGAAGAUAUCUGGUGCUCCGGGAGCACCUAAACUUAAGUGCUCCGGGAGCUUCUCAGUCGUUGGAUCUAAAAUCCAAAGGCCAUGGAGAGAGCUCGCGCAUUUAUUCAAAAAAAAAACACCUAGAAGUCCGUUAUUACAACCAGAUCCAACGCAUCCCUAGAUGACCGUGAGAUUAUAGAUCCAACGGCUGAGAAGCUCCCGGAGCACCUAAGUUUAGAUGCUCCCGAAGCACCAUAUAUCUUCCCUUCAAAGGAGUACCUUGUACUCCCUCCGUCCGAAAAUACUUGUCGAAGAAAUGCAUAAAAAUGAAUGUAUCUAGAACUAAAAUAUAUCUAGAUACAUGCAUUCCUCCGACGAGUAUUUCCAGACGGAGGGAGUAUCAGACAUGUCGUUUCGUUGUUGCAAUGGAGCCGGGGCGCCUGGAGCCCUUUUCAUCUACAAAAAAUGGAGCAAGGCCAUGGGUGUACGAUGCUGAUGCUCACCAUCUUCACAGGAUACUGAGCAGGCAGCUCCUGAUGCCCCGAUUCUGGCGGAGCAGGUCUUGAUGCGCCAAACGACGGCCAAAUCGAUCGCCCGGGGCGGGGCGGGCGAGGCCGGCAUUCCGUCGAACAGAGCGCGGGCGCCCGCCUACUCUCUCCCCGACGGCGAAGCCUUCAGUCCCUGUUCCCCUCGACGGCGACGCGCUCGGCCGAGGCAGAGGCCCCCACGCGGCAGGGGCGCUUGUGGCGUGGCGCCCCGAGCCGCGGCCACCUGCCUGCCCGGAUUCCAUCGCCCCACCUCAGUGCUCGCGCGCGCGGCGCGAGUGGGCGAGUGCGGCGCGAAUCCGAUCCCCCCGUAUAAGAAGAAGCGGGGGUGAGUGGGCGGAUGGGAACGCGGCCCGGCUCGCGAAACCGAAUCCUCCCUCCUCCUCUCCUCCGGGUGCUGCUUCGGAAUCGGUACGACUGAUCCCCUCCCAUCUCUCGUUUUGAUUUCCCUUCCCCCUUGCUUGAUCUCUGCGGGCUCGUUCAUGAUCUAGAGGUCAUGGAAUGAAUGAACGCCAUGAUACAUGGAUCGAUCGCAGAUGAAUCUGGUUCUCAGGAAUUUGUUUGACUGAUCGAUGGUUUAAUUUGUGAACUGCGAUCCUUGUUCACCGUGGAUUCCUCAUCUGCGCGUUAAAUUUCAAAUUGAAUAAUAGGUCAUCAGUCCGGAAUAAUAUGUGGCAUGUUCAACCGGUGUUGAGCAGAAGUCCUGAAACAAAGAGAAAUUGCCUGUGAGGUAUACGGGAUAGUUGCCGCCAAGAUCAAAGAGCUUAGCCAAGCUUACUCGCAGCCACCUCUUAUAGUCCGAAUUAAUCCAUUUUAAAUUUGUCUAGCUGCAUCAAAUUUCAAACUGAUUAAAGAACUUCAAUUCUUUAGCACCUAAGGUCGAAUAUAUCCCUGGACGGAUAUAGCACGCUGAUGCAUGCGUUUAUCUCCGGCGUUUACGGUAGAUUCUACAUAUAUAUUUUGUCGUUACUUCUCUAUGUUUUCAAUUUUUCUUUGAUAAAAGUGGAGCUCUGCCAAUCAGUUAAAAGAAAUCCGGUCAGUAACAAGUAAUAAGUUCUUUUUAGCAGAAAUUGCCAAUUCAUGAGCUAGCCAGAUUUCGAAGAUGAACAUCCAAUACCUAGCUAUCCAUGUCAAGAGAAGCCCUCCUCCUUUCGUGCACACUUUGUGUUCGCCAUCUGCACCUUCCUGACGACCACGUCAUUGCAUCACAUAGUAUCGUAGUGAUUAACUUCUCAAAAUUGUCUCAGAUACUACCAUCGAACUUGGCCUUAGGACCUACAAGUACAUUUUUUGGCAAAGAAACCCACAAAGGAGGCGCCAUUUUUGUUUAUCUUUUGCUAGCGAGUUUGGCUGAGACCUUUUUUCUUUACUUGCACCGGAUGUUGUCACUAUGUUUCGUUAUACUUUGAUAGUGGAAACCUUGCAUAAGGGUUGUAUGGGGAAAAAAGUAGAAGGCGCCUAAAGCGAUAUUAGUUUGUUCUUCUCACGUCAAUCUUCAUGUCUGAUCCACCAUCUUCCAACGACAUUUUGAGGUACAUGCCCAACCAUGUGUGAGCAACGCAUUUUCAUCAUGGCCCAUGUAAAAAUGGGUUGUGCAACCUUCAUAGUGAUAUUGAUAAGAUAAGGAAAGCGCGAAUAAAGUUUGGGAGAACAGGGGGACAUGGUCCGAUCCACCACUGGGUGCCACUUUAUACCAUCAUCUUGACUUGUUUUUUUUUUUGCUGGGAAUCUUGGUUUGUGAUUAGCAGCAUGCAUGUUGAUCAUGUGUAAUGUUGUAUGCUAAUCCAAAUACAUGAAUCCUUUUUACCAUGACUACUAAACCCUGAGAACAGGAUGGCAUGAGCAGUCAAACAAUGCCACGGCUUGUAGACCUUGUGCAUUUGGUUGGAAUAAGAAAUUACAGCUACACAGACCCUGUGUUACAUGGGUCAAGUCAGCUUAGCCCAAGAUUUUUUCAAAAAUUGUUCGGCUAGCCCUCCCAUCCUUAAUCCACCUGCAAAUGACACUCCUUGGCAUAUGUUGGGAACAUAUCAUGCCAUCCAUGACUGGGGCACAGGCUCCAUGGUCGAAAAACCUGUUCUCGGGAAUGAAGCUCUCAUAGUCAACUCAUCACCGUACUCCACCUCCACGGAAAAACACAUUUAGGUUUAAGCACAAAGAGAAGCGACUCGUCCUAGCAAUUGCUCCAAAGUAGGACCCACACCACUAUGUAUCUCCUCUCCACCCACAUGGGUCCAAGUUCUAGAGCUUGUAUAGGUGCACAUGGCUUGUGGCCCUCGUCACAAAUUGGUAAAGCUAGACAACUCGAUAUACAAUGAUUGAGUAAGCUACUAUGGCUUUGAGCUGGAAUAAUGUUUCAGAUUGUUACAUCAAUGGUUAUACAAUUCAUACAUGCUAUGACAAUCUAAUAUAUAUACUUCUUCUCCAUGUAAUAUUUCUUUUCUCUCAAUAUAAUUUGCUGAGGAUAAAUACUUUCACAUUUUCUUAGAGAUACAUCCUUGCAGGUAAGUCAGCAACGCAACAAUGGAAGAAGGGAAAGACAAGAAUAACACCACCGAGAAGGGGCUGUUCUCAAACAUGAUGCAUGGUUAUCCACCUCAUGGAGGAUACGGAUACCCUCCUCAAGGUUACCCGCCACCGGGGGUCCCCUACCCUCCUCCCGGGGCGUAUCCUCCUCCACCACAAUAUGGGUACCCUCAGCCCGGUGGCUACCCACCUCACGGUGGAUAUCCCCCCGUCGGCUACCCUGGUAUGCAUUGCUUGUUGAUCAGUUAUACAUAAUGCACGUCCUAAUUGUGUCGUGUCUGGGGAGUUAAUUUGCUCAGUUGGACCUCAAUGAUAUGAGCAACACUGUAAUUGAUCUUUCAGUUAUUAGCUCGGAUUUAUUUAUGUCAUCACUUCUUGAUAAUCUGUUUCAGGCUACGGGGGUGGCCACGGAGGCCAUGGCUACGGCGGCGGGCACAUGGGCUACGGAGGCGGCUACGGCGGCGGCAGCCAUGCUCUCGGGCACCACCACGGAGGCCACGGCUACGGCCAUUAUGGUCACGGAGGCCAUGGCUACGGACACCACGGUCACGGACACUACCACGGCGGGCACGGCUGGGGGCACCAUGGCCAUGGAUAUCACCACCACCACCACCACGGCAAGCACGGUUACGGCAAGUUCAAGAAGUGCAAGUGAUGUGCGUCUGCGCAUGGUGAUUGCGCCUCAUCAACUAUCUUAAGUAAGCUUGGUUCCAGAAAUACCCCCGCGGCUGGGAAGAGCGGUAGCAUGUCUCCUGUGAGACUGCGAUGAUGCAAUGCACCUGUGCUGUUACGAUAUACCAUAUAAUUUGGUGCGGUAUAGCUAAUAAGGUUUGAUAAUAAGUAGCGGAAUCAGAUGCCAGUCAUUUGCUGCAGUUCAGACGUUCUAUUUCGUCCGUACACAGAUGUGCUAGCUAGAUAUCAUGCUCGAUCAGAUCAGUGCUCAGUGCAUGCCCCUAGUACACACGUCAUGUGAAGGACGGCGCCUGGGUGCGACCGUGGUGAUCAUCCUGCGCAGUUGCACGGCGCAAGGCCGGCGUUCAUCAUGUAGUGGCAGGCUGGCAGCCGCUGGGGAGGCGAGCUCCGGCGAGCAGCUACCCCCUCCCUCCCUACCGUGCCACUAAUAAGUAGCGGAAUCAUAUACCACAUAUCAGUCAUUUGCUGCAGUUCAGAUGUUCUCUUUCGUCUAGCUACUGGCUAGCUAGAUAUCAUGCUCGAUCAGAUGAGUGGUCAGUUCAUACCGCUAGUACGCACGUCAUGUGAAGGCCGGCGCCUGGGUGCGACCGUGGUGAUCAUCCUGGGCAGCCACGGCGAGAGGCCAGCGUUCAUCAUGUAGCAGUGGCAGGCUGGCAGGCGCCGGGGAGGAGAGCUCCGACGAGCGGCGACUCCCUCCCUCCGUGCCGCGCCGUUCCUGGCCGUCGUGGAGGCAGCAAAAGAAACCAGAGCACAGCGUCGCACGCUCAAACGAGGCUCGUUUGUGUAGGCAAACACACAGGCUCAAGCGAGAGCAAAGAGAGUGUUUUUCUUUUUUGAGGGAAAUCAUGGUCUCUUUAUUGCAUGAUAAUAUAUGGUACAAUUGUAGUGUCAUUCCGCUGCAGCAGCCAGUUAUAUCGACCAUGAGCUAAUUAAUGAUACAACGCUUUUUAUAAAAUUGUGAGCCUCCAUAUUGGACAUUCUGCAUUCAUGGAUAAUCCGGACCAAUGCUUUUUUUGGGGGAGCAAAGAGAGUGUUUGGGAUAAAGACUGGCCCAAUGCUUUUGGACUCCUAAUCUGCUAAUUUGCCCGUCGCGUCUGCCUGGGCUGGUGGACCGAAUCCAGGCCCAGCCGGAGAAGCGCCCACACGCGCCACGUGCCGGCUGGUCGUCGUUUCAACGCGCAAAUAUCCCCUGAGCAAAGCAACGUGGGGUUCCUUCGCCGCGUUGCUUUCUUGCUCGCCCCCACGACGGACGACGCGCUUCGGCCGCGCCUGCCUCGAGCCGCGGGAGCCCAGGGCCCCCACCUGUCAUCCACGCGGCGUACCAAUGUCAAAUCCUAUCCAUCCACCCACGAAUAAUAACUCCAGGCCGCGGGACCCGCCCGGGAUUCGGUGCGCGGGCGAGGAGGAAGGUGCCAACGCCUGCGAUGCGAGCCGGAAGGAAGCGCGUACACGAGCCCACCGCCCCUGUAUAAAAUCCCCCAGCACACACAGCCACAGCAACCCAAUAUACACGGAGAAGAGAUCGUCAUCAUCCGCCAAACCAGAUCGGCUCGGCUGCUUCCUCUUCUUCAACUUCGCAGAAUCGCUGGUCUUCUCGUCCUCUAGGUAUGCGCGCCUCCUUAUCCAUUCCAUGCUCCUACAGUCCUGCGAAUCCGCGGCCCCUCUUGGCUCCGAGUAGUAGAUCGUGGUAAAUUUUACUGGAGGGGAUUUUUUUUUUUGCUCUGUUCGACCAACUGGGUGGGGAUUUUUUCCUUUUCGAGGUCGGCCCUGGGAAAGGGGGAUCGGUCACGGAUUUGGCUCCGCUGGAUCUGAGUGGCUGGUUGCCGUGAGAAAACCCAGUUCGUCGUUGUGGAAAGGGCGCCCAAAUUAGCCGUUAAUGUGUGCGAAGUCAUGCCCGAGGACUUUCGUCAGUUGGAUCGACGCGGCUCUUAAUCGAUCGAUCGAUCAUGCCAUUAGUUUGGCAGGGUUGUUGUGGAAUUCGUAGUCAGGAUGCGUAAGCUAAAUCUAGCGCUACUUGCACUGGGUUUGGGUAAAAAAACUCGCAGAGUCUCUCCGAUUGGUUAAUAAUCAUGUAUGUAUGCCCUUCCUUCAUGUUUGAUUAGCACAUGCAUGUUUCAACCGUCUUGUAUGAAUAGGUUGCCGCUUGUUAGGCACGAUGGACAUGGUUUGGUCAAGUGGAAAUUGAAAUGGGAAUUGAGUAGGCAGUUAGGCACGAUGGCUGGUUGUUGCUGCCCUGUUUAUUUUAGUCAGAGGACCAUGUCUGAUUGCUUGCACGCAGCACUCACUCAAGAAUAUGGUUCUUUUACCAAGUCAAAUGUUCUGUUGUGAGGACGGCUAGUUCUGCUCUAGCUGGCAUAAACACAUCAAUGUGGUGCUACCAGCUCUCGAACCGACAAGAAAAUUUGUUAACUGUACAUACAUAACAUGUCCUGGUGGCAAUUCAUAUGCUUGUAUGCAAAGAUUCCUUGAUCGUGAAAUUCGACUAGAAAAGGAAUGUGUGGCGCUGCUGCUGUUGUAAUGCCAACUUGUAUGCUUGUAGACAGCAAGAUUUCUCUAUCGUGUACUAACAUUUGCCUACCUGAUCAACAAUUUGUACAGUUAAGUCCCUCGACAGCAAUGGGAGGAGGCAACGACGGUCAUGGGUACCCACCCGGUGGCCAGGGGGGAUACCCUCCGCAAGGGUACCCGCCGCAGCAGGGAGGUUACCCUCCACAGCAAGGAUACCCGCCUGCACCUGGAGCUUACCCACCUGCACCUGGGGCAUACCCUCCUGCACCUGGGGCAUACCCUCCUGCGCCCGGAGCGGGUGGCAGUGACGGGGAGAAGGGGCUCCUCUCCAACAUCAUGCACGGUGUUGCCGGUGCUCAUGGUGGUGGCCAUGGCUACCCAUCUGGUGGCCACGGGUACCCCCCGCAGCAGCAUGGAUACCCUCAGCAAGGCUACCCUCCUCAGCAUGGCUACCCACCGCAACAGCAUGGCUACCCUCCACAGCAGCAUGGCUAUCCCCCUGCUGGCUACCCUGGCUCAUCUGGUAUAUACCACUCCCUUGUUUUUCAGUCAUUGAUAUUGAUAAGGAUCUGUGCAAAGCCAUCAUAGCACCCUCUCUGUUAGGAACAUUUACAUUUCCACGAUUUCUAUGCAUUUAUAUGUGUAGUAUGUGCUGGAUUGAUAUGCAUUUAGAUGUGUAGUAUGCGCUGCAUCUUCAACAGCCUGCAAUUUCAGUCUAGUAUAUGAGUGGUGGUUUAUCUUGAUGUUAAAGAGUCCCAAGUUCUGUUGUAUCAAACUUGUGUCAUUCUUCAGCAUCCGUCCUCAUCGGCUAUUGUUUUUUCAGGUCACAGUGGUAGCCAUGGAGGAGGAGGCAUGGGCAUGGGCGGCAUGCUAGCUGGAGGCGCAGCAGCUGCUGCCGCCGCUUACGGAGCACACAAGAUUUCUCACGGCGGCCACGGUGGAGGUGGACACAUGAUGGGAGGCAUGAUGGGCGGCCAUGGAGGCUAUGGCGGCGGGUACGGCCACCAC